This 162-nucleotide ribosomal RNA is filed under the name Lactuca indica. RNAcentral describes it as "5.8S ribosomal RNA". It matches the Rfam family "5.8S ribosomal RNA". Rfam says of the family: 5.8S ribosomal RNA (5.8S rRNA) is a component of the large subunit of the eukaryotic ribosome. The record is from RNAcentral. Lineage: Eukaryota; Viridiplantae; Streptophyta; Magnoliopsida; Asterales; Asteraceae.
ACGACUCUCGGCAACGGAUAUCUCGGCUCACGCAUCGAUGAAGAACGUAGCAAAAUGCGAUACUUGGUGUGAAUUGCAGAAUCCCGUGAACCAUCGAGCUUUUGAACGCAAGUUGCGCCCGAAGCCAUCCGGCUGAGGGCACGCCUGCCUGGGCGUCACGCA